UCCAUAUUGAACAUAUGAAGUGCUGGCUGUUUUCCGCGAAGCAGUCAGAAAAGGGAAUCAGGUGAAAGUCCUGAGCGAUCCGGUCACUGUAACAGAGGAGCAAUCUUUCAGAAACCAUUGUACAUAUGUAUGAGAAGGGGAAAGAGAACAUUGAUUCUGGAGCCAGGAAACCUGCUUUGUAUGGCGAGGUUAA
Molecule: regulatory RNA element, 193 nt
Organism: Blautia sp. CAG:257
Lineage: Bacteria; Bacillati; Bacillota; Clostridia; Lachnospirales; Lachnospiraceae
Source: Rfam